Molecule: ribosomal RNA, 379 nt
Filed under: uncultured eukaryote
Lineage: Eukaryota
Description: partial 18S ribosomal RNA
Rfam family: Eukaryotic small subunit ribosomal RNA
Source: RNAcentral
CAAUAGCGUAUAUUUAAGUUGUUGCAGUUAAAAAGCUCGUAGUUGGAUUUCGGGCGGGGCGGGACGGUCCGCCGUUUCGGUGUGCACUGUCCCGCGCCGUCUUCUUGUCGAGGACGCGUUUCCGGCCUUUGCUGGCUGGGGCGCGGAGUCGGCGCGGUUACUUUGAAAAAAUUAGAGUGUUCAAAGCGGGCUCACGCUUGAAUAUAUUAGCAUGGAAUAACACUAUAGGACUCCGAUCCUAUUCUGUUGGUCUUCGGGACUGGAGUAAUGAUUAAGAGGAACAGUUGGGGGCAUUCGUAUUUCAUUGUCAGAGGUGAAAUUCUUGGAUUUAUGAAAGACGAACUUCUGCGAAAGCAUUUGCCAAGGAUGUUUUCAUUAA